UACGGGGGGGGCAAGCGUUGUUCGGAAUUACUGGGCGUAAAGGGCUCGUAGGCGGCCAACUAAGUCAUACGUGAAAUCCCUCGGCUUAACCGGGGAACUGCGUCUGAUACUGGAUGGCUUGAGUUCGGGAGAGGGAUGCGGAAUUCCAGGUGUAGCGGUGAAAUGCGUAGAUAUCUGGAGGAACACCGGUGGCGAAGGCGGCUCACUGGACCGGUAUUGACGCUGAGGUGCGAAAGCGUGGGGAGCAAACAGG
Molecule: ribosomal RNA, 253 nt
Filed under: uncultured bacterium
Lineage: Bacteria
Description: partial 16S ribosomal RNA
Rfam family: Bacterial small subunit ribosomal RNA
Source: RNAcentral